AAUUAAACAUAUGAUUUGUAACCAUGAUUUGAGAUCGGUCAGUGUGUCACGACCCAGCGAAGAGGUCACUUCCAAGGCUUGCUCUGGAGAGCAUGUCCACCUCACACUGGUUGGGGUGCGCCCCCUUCAUGUCAGUCCUGAUUUAGUUGGUCGUCCCUUCAGAGCACGUCAGUCAUGAAAUUUAUUUGUUGUGAGUAAAAAUAUCAAAAAUGAUCGAGAUGAUGUAAGGUGAGGUGCGCCCACCGGGUGCACAGUAGUCCUUGGAAGCAUAUUGGAAUUCAGUGCUUGCGGCUUUUUCGAAAACCCUUCGAUUGUUCUGAGGACGGAAAUCGGACGACCGGCUGCCAGUGAAGUUUUGAAAUUGACCUCAACCGCCUCUAAAUCAGAUGUCACCGGCCAACUCUGGACAAUAAAGACUACAAAAACCCCCUACAAAAAAAUCUAAAGAUCGCCAAAAUUCUUCGUUUUGAAAUUAUCCCCUUUAGGCUCUAAAUUUUUCAGAUUAUUUUUUCUCCCUUUCGGCAAUUUGGUUCUAAAUUUUUUUUCCUAAAAAUAAUGCAAAUUCUCGUCUUAUUUUAAAAUUCUUGUUUCGGCUUAUCAAAAUUAUUAGUUUUACUUUUCGGCUUUUUAUGUUUUGGAAAAUAUAUUGUUACUUUUCUUAACAGUAGUGAAUUUUUUAUUUGACUUUAGCUAGUUUAGUUUGUUUUUUAAUAUUAGCCAUGUGUUUUGUCAUCUGUGGUUGGCAAGAACAAAUUUUAUUUCAUUCAAUUCAACUAGGACAGAAAUACAUUUUUUCACUUCAAAAGGUAAGAAAAAUAAAAAGUGUGAUAAACAUAAAGGUACUGCCAGUUUUCAUACUUCUAUAAUGUCAGGAUACUAUUUUAAGACUUCAACUUCAAAAUUUAGUUUAACUAGUACUUUGUCACAUGUAGCUACAUAAAUUAGAAAAUUUAGAGUAGUAGUUCGAUUACAACGUGCAUUGUUACUGGUCGGAACGAGAGCAAAAAAAAGCUUAUGCAUUGAAAGGAAAAAUUGUAACAUUGUGUCAAUGGGUGGACCAAGAUUGAUUAACCACGAGGAUAGACGGUAUUGUAGUUGAGGUAGCCCCUCAGGGAUACAAAGGACCCACGGGUAAGGGAAAACUACGACGGACAAUUACCUGGAGGCAGCUUAGAUUUGAGCAUGUCCAUGGCGACGACGUUGAUGAUAAGCACCCAGAUCGGGCAUUCCAGGAGGUCCGGGUCGGAUUUGACGAACGCCAAAGCGCUCAGGCACUGGCAUUCCAGACGCCUUCGGUCCGGAUACGCGCGCCUCAACUCUCUUGAUACGUUGGCUUGGAAUUUCUUCAUAUCGAAGAGCUGAAAAAAAAAAGAAAGAAGACAGGUAAUGAGAAAUUCA
This is a long non-coding RNA of Cimex lectularius (bed bug), 1398 nucleotides long. RefSeq lists it as uncharacterized. Lineage: Eukaryota; Metazoa; Arthropoda; Insecta; Hemiptera; Cimicidae. The record is from RefSeq and is a predicted model, not a curated record. The transcript has 4 exons.